RNAcentral lists this ribosomal RNA (253 nucleotides) under uncultured bacterium. RNAcentral describes it as "partial 16S ribosomal RNA". It matches the Rfam family "Bacterial small subunit ribosomal RNA", at positions 524 to 776 of the family's 1533-position model. The record is from RNAcentral.
UACGGGGGGGGCAAGCGUUGUUCGGAAUUACUGGGCGUAAAGGGCUCGUAGGUGGCCAACUAAGUCAUACGUGAAAUCCCUCAGCUUAACUGGGGAACUGCGCCUGAUACUGGUUGGCUUGAGUUUGGGAGAGGGACGCGGAAUUCCAGGUGUAGCGGUGAAAUGCGUAGAUAUCUGGAGGAACACCGGUGGCGAAGGCGGCGUCCUGGACCAAUACUGACACUGAGGAGCGAAAGCCAGGGGAGCAAACGGG